This is a long non-coding RNA of Mauremys mutica (yellowpond turtle), 521 nucleotides long. RefSeq lists it as uncharacterized. The record is from RefSeq and is a predicted model, not a curated record. NCBI's taxonomy places the organism in Eukaryota, Metazoa, Chordata, Testudines, Geoemydidae. The transcript has 3 exons.
AACUGGUUUCCUCCUGCUGUGGGCUGCAUGUGACCUGCCCUUACUUGUUGCGCCGCCGCUGUUCCUGCUGCAGGGGGGCACCGUGCGUUAGAACUACAGCGCCGCGAGUAUAAGCGUAAGCAGCCAUCACAAAGCUACCUCAGAGUCCAAAUUUGAACAGCAAAGUAAAUAUCAAAGACCCCAGCUGCCAAUCACCUAUUGUGCUACAAUGCUCAACCCAGUGAGUAAUGGUAAGAAUUACCCUGCUGGUUCUCUUAAGGCUGUAGAAUCUGCACAACACAUUCUUUGUAUAUCCAGAUGGAUUUUAUGGAUGAGAAUGAAGAGGACCUUUUCUCAUCUAAAUGUGGCUGUGUAGCAGGCCGGUGUGGCUCCCCUCCUCCCCAGGAAGGGUUGAGCCGCGCCGGACACCGGAAGGGGCGGGGCUACAGAGCAGUGAGCCCGCCCCUCAGAGGGUCAGGCGGCGACCCGGAAGCAUAAAAGCCGGCCAUUGGAGCUCAGUCGGAGCCCAGCCACCGUCGGGA